GACGAAGCUGGCGGCGUGCCUAUACAUGCAAGUCGAGCGGACAGAUGGGAGCUUGCUCCCUGAUGUUAGCGGCGGACGGGUGAGUAACACGUGGGUAACCUGCCUGUAAGACUGGGAUAACUCCGGGAAACCGGGGCUAAUACCGGAUGGUUGUUUGAACCGCAUGGUUCAAACAUAAAAGGUGGCUUCGGCUACCAUUACAGAUGGACCCGCGGCGCAUUAGCUAGUUGGUGAGGUAACGGCUCACCAAGGCAACGAUGCGUAGCCGACCUGAGAGGGUGAUCGGCCACACUGGGACUGGACACGGCCCAGACUCCUACGGGAGGCAGCAGUAGGGAAUCUUCCGCAAUGGACGAAAGUCUGACGGAGCAACGCCGCGUGAGUGAUGAAGGUUUUCGGAUCGUAAAGCUCUGUUGUUAGGGAAGAACAAGUACCGUUCGAAUAGGGCGGUACCUUGACGGUACCUAACCAGAAAGCCACGGCUAACUACGUGCCAGCAGCCGCGGUAAUACGUAGGUGGCAAGCGUUGUCCGGAAUUAUUGGGCGUAAAGGGCUCGCAGGCGGUUUCUUAAGUCUGAUGUGAAAGCCCCCGGCUCAACCGGGGAGGGUCAUUGGAAACUGGGGAACUUGAGUGCAGAAGAGGAGAGUGGAAUUCCACGUGUAGCGGUGAAAUGCGUAGAGAUGUGGAGGAACACCAGUGGCGAAGGCGACUCUCUGGUCUGUAACUGACGCUGAGAGCGAAAGCGUGGGGAGCGAACAGGAUUAGAUACCCUGGUAGUCCACGCCGUAACGAUGAGUGCUAGUGUUAGGGGGUUUCGCCCCUUAGUGCUGCAGCUAACGCAUUAAGCACUCCGCCGGGGAGUACGGUCGCAAGACUGAAACUCAAAGGAAUUGACGGGGGCCCGCACAAGCGGUGGAGCAUGUGGUUUAGUUCGAAGCAACGCGAAGAACCUUACCAGGUCUUGACAUCCUCUGACAAUCCUAGAGAUAGGACGUCCCCUUCGGGGGCAGAGUGACAGGUGGUGCAUGGUUGUCGUCAGCUCGUGUCGUGAGAUGUUGGGUUAAGUCCCGCAACGAGCGCAACCCUUGAUCUUAGUUGCCAGCAUUCAGUUGGGCACUCUAAGGUGACUGCCGGUGACAAACCGGAGGAAGGUGGGGAUGACGUCAAAUCAUCAUGCCCCUUAUGACCUGGGCUACACACGUGCUACAAUGGACAGAACAAAGGGCAGCGAAACCGCGAGGUUAAGCCAAUCCCACAAAUCUGUUCUCAGUUCGGAUCGCAGUCUGCAACUCGACUGCGUGAAGCUGGAAUCGC
Molecule: ribosomal RNA, 1315 nt
Filed under: Bacillus subtilis
Lineage: Bacteria; Bacillati; Bacillota; Bacilli; Caryophanales; Bacillaceae
Also listed under: 1 other name
Description: bacterial SSU rRNA
Rfam family: Bacterial small subunit ribosomal RNA
Source: RNAcentral